ACUCAAAUGAAUUGACGGGGACCCGCACAAGCGGUGGAGCAUGUGGAUUAAUUCGAUACUAACCGAAGAACCUUACCCAGACUUGACAUCGAUGGUAAGCCAAUGAAAGUUGGCCCUCCCUCUCAAGGGGACCAGAAGACACUUGUUGCAUGGCUGUCGUCAGCUCGUGCCGUGAGGUGUACGGUUAAGUCCGCCAACGAGCGCAACCCUCGUCCUGUGUUACCAGCAUGAAAGAUGGGAACUCACAGGAGACCGCCGGUGUAAGCCGGAGGAAGGUGGGGAUGACGUCAAGUCAGCAUGGCAGUUACGUCUGGGGCUUCACACAUGCUACAAUGGGCGCAACAGAGGGCCGCGAUACCGCGAGGUGGAGCUAAUCCCAAAAAUACGCCCCCAGUUCAGAUUGCAGUCUGCAACUCGACUGCAUGAAGGCGGAAUCGCUAGUAAACGCAGGUCAGCUAUACUGCGUUGAAUACGUUCCCGGGUCUUGUACACACCGCCCGU
This 501-nucleotide ribosomal RNA is filed under the name uncultured bacterium. RNAcentral describes it as "partial 16S ribosomal RNA". It matches the Rfam family "Bacterial small subunit ribosomal RNA", at positions 899 to 1397 of the family's 1533-position model. The record is from RNAcentral.